RNAcentral lists this long non-coding RNA (609 nucleotides) under Homo sapiens (human). RNAcentral describes it as "non-protein coding lnc-PABPC4-1:8". Lineage: Eukaryota; Metazoa; Chordata; Mammalia; Primates; Hominidae. The record is from RNAcentral.
AUGUUGCAGCAGCUGUCAACAACAUGUUUGGUCAGAUGAAGACUGGGUGGAGAAGUUUGCUGGGAAGAGGAUAAAGAGGAAGGUGGUUGAGACUUCCCAAAGCAGAAAGCCAGGAGGUAAGAAUGACAGUUCAUGCUUCCAUAGGAGAGGCUGCUGCUUUCCACAUAGGGAAUUUCUGAGGUGAGUGGUGUUGGGUGAAUUUAAAGGAGAAGUUUUGGCUUUCUUAUCUAGGUGAGAAAUAUCUUAUGUGGGCUCAGGUAUUUGUGAUUGCUGCUGAGCAAGGCGGAUAUCUGAGGUGAGAAAGGAUGGUGAGUACUCUGCAUCACCAGCAUCCGCUAUCCUCCUAGUCUUUGGCAGCAGGCUCACUGUCUUCCUGUUCUUGCCCUAAUUCCAAGGGGGCAGAAUCAUGUAGAGGUCCCUUCCCCUCAGUCAGUACACAGGCACAAGGCUCUCCCUGCCCUCUCCACUUGCUCCUGCUUCUCCAUCAGGCCAUCCUGACUGUUGCUUCCCAGGAUAAUUUAAGGGCUCCUCCUCCUCAGUCCACCCUUUGAGCAGUGAUAUUUCCCUGAAUUCCUUCCUUAGCCCUCAGCACCUCUCUCCACAUUAUCC